RNAcentral lists this long non-coding RNA (1514 nucleotides) under Salmo salar (Atlantic salmon). Its description in RNAcentral is "lncRNA (ENSSSAG00000116843.1, ENSSSAG00075019102.1)". Lineage: Eukaryota; Metazoa; Chordata; Actinopteri; Salmoniformes; Salmonidae. The record is from RNAcentral.
CGAGUAAAGCCAGGAUGUAGGUUAGCAUAAUUCCGGCCCUCAGUGGUGGAUUUAGGUAUGGGCGGCAUGGGGCGCCCACUCAAAUGUGGAAUGGUGACAUUUGCGCGAUCGGUUUUCUAUCGCUCAUUUCCGCGGCACGUCAAUGAUAUGUCACCAUGUGGGACUGUGGGUCAAUUAACCCUGUCGGAGUGCAUUUGUCCCACUCAGAAGAGAUGGGGCGGGGGGUAGGUUGACCUCAGGUAUCAAAUAGCGCACCUCUAACUUCGUACAGUACUAAUACAAUUAGUACAAUCAGUCACUACGAAAUGCUACCAAAAUAAGCCAAAAUUUAUUCAUAACACUGUGAAUAUAUAGUUUCACAGACAUAUUGUUGCAUUUUUUUCUGGUUUGUGUGAAAUCGUUAAGAAUAAUGUAAAACCAGUCUGCACACCACCAAGGUGGAUUGGUUUAAUCUUGACUCUUGGUUGACAGUGUUGGGGGAUGGGUAAUGUAUUGAUGCUCGAGUGCCAAAUCAACACAAAUUGAUAAGAAAAGGUCUAAAACAUCAGGUGCCCAGUUUAGGAAAAAGAGGAAAGAAGAAGAGGAGAAAUGCGCAAAAGAUAAAGGAAUCUUCUAGCUUGGAUGAUAGGAUGGAGAAGGGAACAAAGGCAAGGAGCACAGAAGUUAUCCAGCCUUUUGAUUAAGAAGUUUCCUGAAACAUGUAGAUGACAUGAUGCAUGGCCUCUACAGCAGUGCUUGGCCACCCAUUCAUUUUCCAGUGAUCUUUUCUGCCACAUCCCAGGUAAGGGAGGGCAGAAUCAUCCCUCCUUAAAUCCACAGUCAUUGACAGUAAGUUUUGUGUGCAAAAUGUUUUUUUUGUUUGAUACUUUGAUAUUCAAUGUGUAUUGAUUCCUACUAACCAGUUUUGUAAGAGCUAGGUUCGUACACUCUCCAAACUGAGCUAUUUCAGCGAGCCGCUUGGCUUAUGUCAGUGUGACUUUUCAGGACACCUGCAAGUGGCACAGAAUAUGAGCACUCAGAAGGUAUCGCAUGGCCAGUACAGAGAUCGAACCUACAACCUUGGCUUAAUUAGCACAACAGUCAAUUGUUACCAGCUAUCGUGGCUCAGCAGGUACUAGCGAGUAAUCUACCAAGUAAGGAUAGCCUGGCCAGGGCUAAAGCCAGAACAAGAGCCUCUUGAUUGCUUCUUGUGGCCACUUCAAGCAGCUGGGGACUCUCUUAGCAAGCAGGAGGUAGUGUGAUUGAUGCCCACAUUCUCCAACACGGGUGGGUAUAAUUUGUGGAACGUUCCAACAGGAAUCCGUUCCAAAAACUCCGCAAAUGUCAAGGUUGCCAACCAACAACGCAUACAAAGUCGUAUAACGGUUGAAUGAGAUACCGGGUAGGGAGUGAGCAAUGUAAUAACGUUUUUCACUCACCACGUUUAUCCCGAAAAAUGUAUCUUCGUUCUGGUAGCCUCCACCAUUCCUCGUUCGUUGGUUUAGUUAUUAUUUCCGGUGUUCCUGCAUUCGCCG